GACGAACGCUGGCGGCGUGCUUAACACAUGCAAGUCGAACGGAAAGGCCCUGCUUUUGUGGGGUGCUCGAGUGGCGAACGGGUGAGUAACACGUGAGUAACCUGCCCUUGACUUUGGGAUAACUUCAGGAAACUGGGGCUAAUACCGGAUAGGAGCUCCUGCUGCAUGGUGGGGGUUGGAAAGUUUCGGCGGUUGGGGAUGGACUCGCGGCUUAUCAGCUUGUUGGUGGGGUAGUGGCUUACCAAGGCUUUGACGGGUAGCUGGCCUGAGAGGGUGACCGGCCACAUUGGGACUGAGAUACGGCCCAGACUCCUACGGGAGGCAGCAGUGGGGAAUAUUGCACAAUGGGCGGAAGCCUGAUGCAGCAACGCCGCGUGCGGGAUGACGGCCUCCGGGUUGUAAACCGCUUUCGCCUGUGACGAAGCGUGAGUGACGGUAAUGGGUAAAGAAGCACCGGCUAACUACGUG
This 468-nucleotide ribosomal RNA is filed under the name uncultured bacterium. Its description in RNAcentral is "partial 16S ribosomal RNA". It matches the Rfam family "Bacterial small subunit ribosomal RNA", at positions 28 to 507 of the family's 1533-position model. The record is from RNAcentral.